UUUGACCUCAAAUCAGGUAGGACUACCCGCUGAACUUAAGCAUAUCAAUAAGCGGAGGAAAGGAAACUAACAAGGAUUCCCCUAGUAACUGCGAGUGAAGCGGGAAAAGCUCAAAUUUGAAAUCUGGCAGUCUUUUUUUUCUUCUUUGGCUGUCCGAGUUGUAAUCUAGAGAAGUGCUUACCUGCACUGGACCAUGUAUAAGUCUCCUGGAAUGGAGCGUCACAGAGGGUGAGAAUCCCGUCUUUGACAUGGACUGCCAGUGUGUUGUGGUGUGCUCUCAAAGAGUCGAGUUGUUUGGGAAUGCAGCUCUAAAUGGGUGGUAAACUCCAUCUAAAGCUAAAUAUUGGSGAGAGACCGAUAGUGAACAAGUACCGUGAGGGAAA
RNAcentral lists this ribosomal RNA (383 nucleotides) under Amanita sp. 'longicuneus'. RNAcentral describes it as "partial 28S ribosomal RNA". It matches the Rfam family "Eukaryotic large subunit ribosomal RNA", at positions 1 to 362 of the family's 3401-position model. The record is from RNAcentral. Lineage: Eukaryota; Fungi; Basidiomycota; Agaricomycetes; Agaricales; Amanitaceae.